AUUCAGAAUGUGGAUAAAGCCAUCCACGCAUGUCUUUACAUUAAAAAAAAAAUCAAAAAAAAA
Molecule: small RNA, 63 nt
Filed under: Arabidopsis thaliana (thale cress)
Lineage: Eukaryota; Viridiplantae; Streptophyta; Magnoliopsida; Brassicales; Brassicaceae
Description: ATSL155130
Source: RNAcentral